This 271-nucleotide ribosomal RNA is filed under the name uncultured archaeon. RNAcentral describes it as "partial 16S ribosomal RNA". It matches the Rfam family "Archaeal small subunit ribosomal RNA", at positions 477 to 747 of the family's 1478-position model. The record is from RNAcentral.
CAGCGCCACGAGUGGCAAUCGCGAUUAUUGGGCCUAAAGCGUCCGUAGCCGGUUCGGUAAAUCCUUUGUGAAAUCGCCAAGCUUAACUUGGCGGCGUGCAGGGGACACUGCCGAACUCGAGACCGGGAGGAGUUAGAAGUAUUUUUGGGGGAGCGGUAAAAUGCUAUAAUCCCAGAAAGACUACCGAUGGCGAAGGCAUCUAACUAGAACGGAUCUGACGGUGAGGGACGAAAGCCAGGGGAGCGAACCGGAUUAGAUACCCGAGUAGUCC